CUCUCUCUCUCUCUCUCUCUCAUCAUUUUUUGAGGGCUUGGUUUAAAAGAGGGAACAUGCAUGGGAAGGAUAUGUAAUAAAGUUUCCAUAUUGGAUUUAAGAAUUCCUUCCAGCGCCUAUGACAUGCAUGUAUGCACUUAUGUUGUAACCUCUUCAUAAUUGAAGGUUUUGUAAUGUCAUUUUAAUUAGAUUUUAGUGACGGUUGGGAUUGCAAUGUAUCAUAAUUUAGUUUGCCUGAUUGUCUGGCCUUGAAGCACAGAAUAUCGUUUUUGAAAUGUUAGGCUGCAAACUAAUAUAUGCAUUAAGUAUGUGUGGAGAAGCCAUUUAGAAUGGUAUAAAGGCUUAGAUUUUUCUUUGAAUGCCUAGACCAUGUAUCAAUGUAGCUUUCUUUGUCCAUUGUUCUUGUUUGUAUACUUAAUAUAUUUUUGAAUUAUAGGCCACAUGCUACGUAUGGUAAAUGUAAUGAUCCAGUCUUAGUUUAUAACCAUUUGAUUAUUGUGUGGGUGAUUUAGAUUCAUAAAAUUUCAAGAAAGGCCAAAGUCAAAUUGAAGUAUUUUUAGAUUUGAAUAGUUCUUUUAUUUCUAUGACAAAUAGAGCUUUAUAAUCCGAAUUGUGUUUACCUAUAAGAAUUAAAUUAUCAUCGAGUUGAUAUAUUCUGUUAUCAUCUAGAAUAUAUUGGUCAAAAAAGUGUUUUGGCAAUUCAAUUCGUAUCUGUAAAUGGGAUCUUCAAUCAUCAUUGGAUGUUUAGUUCCAGGGCCUGUUUGCAUUAGUGCAAGUCAUAAAGUUCUAUGUCUUUGUACGAAUCUUUCUUGUAAGCUUUUGGUGAUAUGGACAACUUAAAAGAACUCAUGUGAAAGUGCUCCAAGUUUUCUAUGAUUAGAUCCUUUCCAAGUUCUGUCCAAAGAGGCAAACUCCUCCAUUCCUACCACACAACUACUUUAAAUUUGUCCUCUGCUGCAUCUGUGGGGAUUGAUCUAUAGGUAGUCAAUUUUCUGUGGAAAAUUUUGCCCUCGUAACAUUUGGGGCUAUAAACUAACAUUAUUUCAAAUUAAUGGCGCAUCUUACUUUCCUUUAACCCACUCCCUCUCUUCUUCCUUACAGAGCACAAUGCAGGGAAAAUUGAAUGUUUAAAAAAAUAGUCUGACAUGAUUAUUCUUUCUUAUUCUUCUUUUUUGUAUGUGUUAAUUUGGAUGUUGUGGAUAGUGGGGAGAGUGACGGCCUUGCAGGGAUAUUGAAAGAGACAAGUGCAUGCUAAACUUGUCUGAAAUGUGAAAUGAUAAAUCAAUUAUUUUUGUUGGUUUGCAGGGAAGAAAGUGAGUAAGGCUCCAAAGAUACAGAGGCUUGUAACUCCAUUGACCCUUCAGAGGAAGCGUGCGAGGAUUGGUGAGAAAAAGAAGAGAAUUGCUAAGGCCAAGGCUGAGGCAGCCGAGUA
RNAcentral lists this unclassified non-coding RNA (1432 nucleotides) under Hevea brasiliensis (rubber tree). Lineage: Eukaryota; Viridiplantae; Streptophyta; Magnoliopsida; Malpighiales; Euphorbiaceae. The record is from RNAcentral.